Oncorhynchus mykiss (rainbow trout) is the source of this 475-nucleotide non-coding RNA. Lineage: Eukaryota; Metazoa; Chordata; Actinopteri; Salmoniformes; Salmonidae. The record is from RefSeq and is a predicted model, not a curated record.
GCUGCAGGGCUGUUGUAAUCAUGGCCCACACUUUGUUUUUCUUCUUUUUUUUUUAUAUAUUGUAGUCGUUUAGUAGACACUCUUAUCCAGAGCUACUUAGUUAGUGCAUCCAUCUUCAGAUAGCUAGGUGGAACAACCACACAUCUCAGUCAUAGUAAGUACAUUUUUCCUGAAAGUAGUUAUCAGCAAAAUCAGAGUUAGUAAGGGGGGAAUCAAGUGCAAGUGUUGGUUCUGGAACGGUCUAAUCUACAUGGUGUCAAUGUUACAUGACAGGUCUAAUCUACAUGGUGUUGAUGUUACAUGACAGGUCUAAUCUACAUGGUGUCAAUGUUACAUGACAGGUCUAAUCUACAUGGUGUCAAUGUUACAUGACAGAUCUAAUCUACAUGACAGAUCUAAUCUACAUGGUGUCAAUGUUACAUGACAGGUCUAAUCUACAUGACAGGUCUAAUCUACAUGGUGUUGAUGUUACAUG